GCGGCCGCUGGCUCAUCGACUGCAAGGUCCUGCCGCCCAACCACCGGGUGGUGUGGCCCUCGGCCGUGGUCUUCGACCUGGCGCAGGCGCUGCGCGACGGGGUCCUUCUGUGCCAGCUGCUGCACAACCUCUCCCCCGGCUCCAUCGACCUCAAGGACAUCAACUUCCGGCCGCAGAUGUCCCAGUUUCUGUGUUUGAAGAACAUACGCACCUUCCUGAAAGUCUGCCACGAUAAAUUCGGAUUAAGGAACAGCGAGCUGUUUGACCCCUUUGACCUCUUCGAUGUGCGAGACUUCGGAAAGGUCAUCUCCGCGGUGUCGAGGCUCUCCCUGCACAGCAUCGCGCAGAACAAAGGCAUCAGGUGAGCUCUCCGGAGUGCGCUGCCAAGGCCGGGUCCUUUCAUCUCCAUCGACACCAGCGUGCCUUGUCACAGAUACUGGGGUUGGAAGCAGAUGCCCUCUGCCUGUGUCUUUAUCAUGCAUUUGCAGCGUGUUGUCGCGUAACCUGUUGGCGGCUGCAGGAA
Molecule: small RNA, 523 nt
Filed under: Pan troglodytes (chimpanzee)
Lineage: Eukaryota; Metazoa; Chordata; Mammalia; Primates; Hominidae
Description: processed transcript
Source: RNAcentral